CCUACGGGAGGCAGCAGUGGGGAAUCUUGCGCAAUGGCCGAGAGGCUGACGCAGCGACGCCGCGUGGGGGAUGAAGCAUUUCGGUGUGUAAACCCCUGUUGCUCGGGACGAACGACCCUUUUCGAGGGGUGUGACGGUACCGAGUGAGGAAGCACCGGCUAACUCCGUGCCAGCAGCCGCGGUAAUACGGAGGGUGCAAGCGUUGUCCGGAAUCACUGGGCGUAAAGGGCGCGUAGGUGGUUAGAUGCGCCGGUGGUGAAAGCGCAGGGCUCAACCCUGCGUCGGCCAUCGGGACGGUCUGACUGGAGCACUGUAGAGGCAGGUGGAAUUCCGGGUGUAGCGGUGGAAUGCGUAGAGAUCCGGAAGAACACCGGUGGCGAAGGCGGCCUGCUGGGCAGUUGCUGACACUGAGGCGCGACAGCGUGGGGAGCAAACAGGAUUAGAUACCCUGGUAGUCCACGCCGUAAACGAUGGGCACUAGGUGCUUGGGGGAGCGACCCCCGUGAGUGCCGACGCUAACGCAUUAAGUGCCCCGCCUGGGGAGUACGACCGCAAGGUUGAAACUCAAUGAAUUGACGG
This 579-nucleotide ribosomal RNA is filed under the name uncultured bacterium. RNAcentral describes it as "bacterial SSU rRNA". It matches the Rfam family "Bacterial small subunit ribosomal RNA", at positions 338 to 916 of the family's 1533-position model. The record is from RNAcentral.